RNAcentral lists this ribosomal RNA (254 nucleotides) under uncultured bacterium. RNAcentral's name for it is "partial 16S ribosomal RNA". It matches the Rfam family "Bacterial small subunit ribosomal RNA", at positions 524 to 776 of the family's 1533-position model. The record is from RNAcentral.
UACGGAGGGAGCUAGCGUUGUUCGGAAUUACUGGGCGUAAAGCGUGCGCAGGCGGUCUGUUAAGACCGAUGUGAAAUCCCCGGGCUUAACCUGGGAACUGCAUUGGUGACUGGCAGGCUUUGAGUGUGGCAGAGGGAGGUAGAAUUCCACGUGUAGCAGUGAAAUGCGUAGAGAUGUGGAGGAAUACCGAUGGCGAAGGCAGCCUCCUGGGCCAACACUGACGCUCAUGCACGAAAGCGUGGGGAGCAAACAGG